This 119-nucleotide ribosomal RNA is filed under the name Periophthalmus magnuspinnatus. The record is from RNAcentral. Lineage: Eukaryota; Metazoa; Chordata; Actinopteri; Gobiiformes; Gobiidae.
CCUUGCUGUAUAACUUGCCUCUAAGUGAUGGAUCUUGUCUGAUCUCAGAAGCUAAGCAGGGUUGGUCCUGAUUAAUACUCGGAUGAGAGACAGCUGGGAAUAUCAGGUGCCAGAAUGGG